UUCUGAGGAAAGAUCUCUGGUUGGUGAUCUCUCCUUUGUGGAGCUUUCCCAAUGAGCCUCAAUCUUCAGGUAGAAGGCUUCCCAUCUUGCAGCAAGGAGUUCCAAACGUGAUUAUGAGUUGAGUGAGAAGGUUCCAAAUGCAGCUCCUUGACUUGAGAAAGAGGCAAGAUGAGACUAGGAGGCCAGAGCAGAAACCCAGCAAAAACCAAAUCUAGGGGUAGCAGCACCCACAGCGUACUUAAUUCCUCAUAAUCUGUCAUUGCCUAACGCUGCUUAUUGUUAGGCCAUGAAAACCCAGUCUGAAUCCUUGCACUGUCACCCACCUCUAUGUCUACUGAGUCAUAGUUAACUCCUAUUCUCGCAUGCAAAGCCAUGCACAGCUCUGCUCUGGCACUGCCUUUCCCCACUGCUCUUUAAUAACUGUUGUUUCACAGCUGGCCUACUUGUCAGCACAAUGAUCAGCCAGGGCAACAUGAGAUAAAUACAGGGGUUCCAGUGAUUUAGUGCUUCCCAAAGUUCACUACUUCUGCACUGCUUGAAACGCUGAUGUUAUUUGUACUAUAUCAUUCAACAAAAGACGAAACUUAGAUUAAAAUUGAAAUUAACAGUGCGAAUUUAGUGCUCAGCUGGUAAUCUCAGCUCAAAUAUACAUGUAGUUAAACACUUGAAGGAAAUAGAAUUGCUUUUUAGGUUCUCCAUCCCCUCAAAAGCCAGGAUCUUUACAUAUCCAGUGAUAUCUAAGGAUUCAGGGGCAAUUUUAUGCAAAGAUUUUUUGAAAACUGCAAUCAGUAUCUACAUUUGAAGUAGCUAGCAUCCUGAAAUUAUU
This 826-nucleotide long non-coding RNA is filed under the name Gallus gallus (chicken). RNAcentral describes it as "lncRNA (ENSGALG00010023481.1)". The record is from RNAcentral. Lineage: Eukaryota; Metazoa; Chordata; Aves; Galliformes; Phasianidae.